Molecule: ribosomal RNA, 492 nt
Filed under: uncultured bacterium
Lineage: Bacteria
Description: partial 16S ribosomal RNA
Rfam family: Bacterial small subunit ribosomal RNA
Source: RNAcentral
AGUGAACGCUGGCGGUAGGCCUAACACAUGCAAGUCGAACGGCAGCACAGUAAGAGCUUGCUCUUACGGGUGGCGAGUGGCGGACGGGUGAGGAAUACAUCGGAAUCUACUUUUUCGUGGGGGAUAACGUAGGGAAACUUACGCUAAUACCGCAUACGACCUACGGGUGAAAGCAGGGGAUCUUCGGACCUUGCGCGAUUGAAUGAGCCGAUGUCGGAUUAGCUAGUUGGCGGGGUAAGGGCCCACCAAGGCGACGAUCCGUAGCUGGUCUGAGAGGAUGAUCAGCCACACUGGAACUGAGACACGGUCCAGACUCCUACGGGAGGCAGCAGUGGGGAAUAUUGGACAAUGGGCGCAAGCCUGAUCCAGCCAUACCGCGUGGGCGAAGAAGGCCUUCGGGUUGUAAAGCCCUUUUGUUGGGAAAGAAAAGCAGCAGGUUAAUACCCCGCUGUUCUGACGGUACCCAAAGAAUAAGCACCGGCUAACUUCGUG